This 468-nucleotide ribosomal RNA is filed under the name uncultured bacterium. RNAcentral describes it as "partial 16S ribosomal RNA". It matches the Rfam family "Bacterial small subunit ribosomal RNA", at positions 28 to 507 of the family's 1533-position model. The record is from RNAcentral.
GACGAACGCUGGCGGCGUGCUUAACACAUGCAAGUCGAACGGAAAGGCCCUGCUUUUGUGGGGUGCUCGAGUGGCGAACGGGUGAGUAACACGUGAGUAACCUGCCCUUGACUUUGGGAUAACUUCAGGAAACUGGGGCUAAUACCGGAUAGGAGCUCCUGCUGCAUGGUGGGGGUUGGAAAGUUUCGGCGGUUGGGGAUGGACUCGCGGCUUAUCAGCUUGUUGGUGGGGUAGUGGCUUACCAAGGCUUUGACGGGUAGCCGGCCUGAGAGGGUGACCGGCCACAAUGGGACUGAGAUAGGGCCCAGACGCCUACGGGAGGCAGUAGGGGGGAAUAUUGCACAGUGGGCGGAAGCCUGAUGCAGCAACGCCGCGUGCGGGAUGACGGCCUUCGGGUUGUAAACCGCUUUCGCCUGUGACGAAGCGUGAGUGACGGUAAUGGGUAAAGAAGCACCGGCUAACUACGUG